This 474-nucleotide long non-coding RNA is filed under the name Ananas comosus (pineapple). Its description in RNAcentral is "long non-coding RNA (ACOM_LNC013010)". Lineage: Eukaryota; Viridiplantae; Streptophyta; Magnoliopsida; Poales; Bromeliaceae. The record is from RNAcentral.
AAGUUUUAUUCAAAUUUUAUUUAAAAUUUAAAUUAAAUUUAUGGAUUCAAAUUGAAAUUUAUUAUAAUUUUAAGUUUGGAUUUGAAUAAAUCGAAAUUUAGUUUUAUAUUUUGAAUUAUUGGUUCAAUUUCAAAUUUUAAUUUUUUCAAAAAAAUAUAUUUAAAAUUUUGACAUAAAUUUUUAGUGUUUAAUUUUUAGUUUGAAUUUAAACUAAUAUAUCAUAAAGAUAAAAUUGACAUAUUAAUUUGGUUACGUUUCUGAUAUCUAUCCGAAUCAAUUAAACACUGAUAAUGGAAAUGGUUCAUUGCGAUUCCAAUUCAGAUAGCGAACCAAACAGAAUGAAAUAAUGAAUAAUUUCGAUUCCGUUUUCAGUUUUUUCUCAUUUCAAUUCUGAUAGCGAUUCCGACUUCGAACCAAACACACCCAUAUUUUCUAUGUUAUGUAUGUACAUUAUCUCCAGUUAACUUCAUUCUC